This 506-nucleotide ribosomal RNA is filed under the name uncultured bacterium. RNAcentral describes it as "partial 16S ribosomal RNA". It matches the Rfam family "Bacterial small subunit ribosomal RNA", at positions 30 to 523 of the family's 1533-position model. The record is from RNAcentral.
AUUGAACGCUGGCGGCAGGCCUAACACAUGCAAGUCGAACGGUAACAGGAAGAAGCUUGCUUCUUUGCUGACGAGUGGCGGACGGGUGAGUAAUGUCUGGGAAACUGCCUGAUGGAGGGGGAUAACUACUGGAAACGGUAGCUAAUACCGCAUAACGUCGCAAGACCAAAGAGGGGGACCUUCGGGCCUCUUGCCAUCGGAUGUGCCCAGAUGGGAUUAGCUAGUUGGUGGGGUAACGGCUCACCAAGGCGACGAUCCCUAGCUGGUCUGAUAGGAUGACCAGCCACACUGGAACUGAGACACGGUCCAGACUCCUACGGGAGGCAGCAGUGGGGAGUAUUGCACAAUGGGCGCAAGCCUGAUGCAGCCAUGCCGCGUGUAUGAAGAAGGCCUUCGGGUUGUAAAGUACUUUCAGCGGGGAGGAAGGGAGUAAAGUUAAUACCUUUGCUCAUUGACGUUACCCGCAGAAGAAGCACCGGCUAACUCCGUGCCAGCAGCCGCAGUAA